UCCUGGGGCUGCCAUACAAAUUACCAUAAACUUGGUGGCUUAAAAAAACAAACACUUAGGGUGGGGGCCUGGUUAGUACUUGGAUGGGAGACCACCCGGGAAGACCAGGUGCUGCAGGCG
This 120-nucleotide ribosomal RNA is filed under the name Pteropus vampyrus (large flying fox). Lineage: Eukaryota; Metazoa; Chordata; Mammalia; Chiroptera; Pteropodidae. The record is from RNAcentral.